UACGUAGGUGGCAAGCGUUGUCCGGAUUUACUGGGCGUAAAGAGCGCGCAGGCGGUCGUUCAAGUCGCGUGUGAAAGCCCCCGGCUCAACUGGGGAGGGUCACGCGAUACUGAUCGACUCGAAGGCAGGAGAGGGAAGUGGAAUUCCCGGUGUAGUGGUGAAAUGCGUAGAUAUCUGGAGGAACACCGGUGGCGAAGGCGGCAUCCUGGACCGGUAUUGACGCUGAGGCGCGAAAGCCAGGGGAGCAAACGGG
Molecule: ribosomal RNA, 253 nt
Filed under: uncultured bacterium
Lineage: Bacteria
Description: partial 16S ribosomal RNA
Rfam family: Bacterial small subunit ribosomal RNA
Source: RNAcentral